AACUUCUUUAUUAAACAGACUGUGCAAAAAAGGAACCGAGAAUAUCUAAUUUAUUUUUCAGGAAAUGUUUAGGAAGGCUGUGCAAGUCACAUGCAAGAAGGUGUUACUUAGGCUGUAUGAAUUCCUAAAUGGCAGAGAAUUGAGCAUUGAGACUGCAGGGGCAUGAUCUAAACACCAUAACCGCAUUAUGCUUACUUUGUUUUGCUCCCUUUAAAAUGCAUAUCUCUUGCUUUUCUGAUACUGUA
This is a non-coding RNA of Pelobates cultripes (western spadefoot toad), 245 nucleotides long. The record is from the annotation of a GenBank genome assembly. Lineage: Eukaryota; Metazoa; Chordata; Amphibia; Anura; Pelobatidae.